CGUAAUAGCUCAGCUGGUAGAGCAACUGACUUGUAAUCAGUAGGUCCAGGGUUCAAGUCCUUGUUACG
RNAcentral lists this transfer RNA (68 nucleotides) under bovine gut metagenome. It matches the Rfam family "tRNA". Rfam says of the family: Transfer RNA (tRNA) molecules are approximately 80 nucleotides in length. Their secondary structure includes four short double-helical elements and three loops (D, anti-codon, and T loops). The record is from RNAcentral.